This 497-nucleotide ribosomal RNA is filed under the name uncultured bacterium. RNAcentral's name for it is "partial 16S ribosomal RNA". It matches the Rfam family "Bacterial small subunit ribosomal RNA", at positions 29 to 523 of the family's 1533-position model. The record is from RNAcentral.
AUUGAACGCUGGCGGCAUGCCUUACACACGCAAGUCGAACGGUAACAGGUCUUCGGAUGCUGACGAGUGGCGAACGGGUGAGUAAUACAUCGGAACGUGCCUAGUAGUGGGGGAUAACGAGACGUAAGAUUUGCAAAUACACCAUGAGAGCUCCGGAUAAAAGCAGGGGAUCGAAAGACCUUGUGCUACUAGAGUGGCUGAUGGCAGGUUAGGUAGGUGGUGGGAUAAAGGCUGACCAAGCAGACGAUCAGUAGCGGGUCUGAGGAGCGGAUCAGCCACACUGGACAUGGAACAAGGCCCGGACUUCUACGGGGGGCAGCAGUGGGGAAUUUUGGACAAUGGGCGAAAGCCUGAUCAAGCAAUGCCUGGGGUGUGAAGAAGGCCUUCGGGUUGUAAAGCACUUUUUUCCGGAAAGAAAUGGCUCUGGUAAUACCUGGGGUCGAUGACGGUACCGGAAGAAUAAGGACCGGCUAAUUACGUGCCAGCCGCCGCGGUAA